UGAGGAAUAUUGGACAAUGGGCGCAAGCCUGAUCCAGCCAUGCCGCGUGCAGGAUGACGGUCCUAUGGAUUGUAAACUGCUUUUGUACAGGAAGAAACAGUUCUACGUGUAGAACCUUGACGGUACUGUAAGAAUAAGGAUCGGCUAACUCCGUGCCAGCAGCCGCGGUAAUACGGAGGAUCCAAGCGUUAUCCGGAAUCAUUGGGUUUAAAGGGUCCGUAGGCGGUUAGAUAAGUCAGUGGUGAAAGCCCAUCGCUCAACGGUGGAACGGCCAUUGAUACUGUCUGACUUGAAUUAUUAGGAAGUAACUAGAAUAUGUAGUGUAGCGGUGAAAUGCUUAGAGAUUACAUGGAAUACCAAUUGCGAAGGCAGGUUACUACUAAUGGAUUGACGCUGAUGGACGAAAGCGUGGGUAGCGGACAGGAUUAGAUACCCCAGUAGUCCCUGAGCGGGCUGGCAAGGCGCAU
Molecule: ribosomal RNA, 467 nt
Filed under: uncultured bacterium
Lineage: Bacteria
Description: bacterial SSU rRNA
Rfam family: Bacterial small subunit ribosomal RNA
Source: RNAcentral